RNAcentral lists this ribosomal RNA (253 nucleotides) under uncultured bacterium. RNAcentral describes it as "partial 16S ribosomal RNA". It matches the Rfam family "Bacterial small subunit ribosomal RNA", at positions 524 to 776 of the family's 1533-position model. The record is from RNAcentral.
UACGGGGGGGGCAAGCGUUGUUCGGACUUCCUGGGCGUAAAGGGCUCGUAGGCGGCCCACUAAGUCAGACGUGAAAUCCCUCGGCUUAACCGGGGAACUGCAUCUGAUACUGGAUGGCUUGAGUUCGGGAGAGGGAUGCGGAAUUCCAGGUGUAGCGGUGAAAUGCGUAGAUAUCGGGAGGAACACCAGUGGCGAAGGCGACUUCCUGGCCUGUUCUUGACGCUGAGGCGCGAAAGCUAGGGGAGCAAACGGG